This 369-nucleotide ribosomal RNA is filed under the name uncultured organism. Its description in RNAcentral is "bacterial SSU rRNA". It matches the Rfam family "Bacterial small subunit ribosomal RNA", at positions 526 to 896 of the family's 1533-position model. The record is from RNAcentral.
CGGAGGGUGCAAGCGUUAUCCGGAUUCACUGGGUUUAAAGGGUGCGUAGGUGGGUUGGUAAGUCAGUGGUGAAAUCCCCCGAGCUUAACUUGGGAACUGCCAUUGAUACUAUCAGUCUUGAAUACCGUGGAGGUCAGCGGAAUAUGUCAUGUAGCGGUGAAAUGCUUAGAUAUGACAUAGAACACCAAUUGCGAAGGCAGCUGGCUACACGAAUAUUGACACUGAGGCACGAAAGCGUGGGGAUCAAACAGGAUUAGAUACCCUGGUAGUCCACGCCCUAAACUAUGGAUACUCGACAUACGCGAUACACUGUGUGUGUCUGAGCGAAAGCAUUAAGUAUCCCACCUGGGAAGUACGAUCGCAAGAUUG